CUCGCCUUCAUCAGCUCUUUCUGCUUGGCUUUUGUGGAUUUUUGGGUUUAGUUUCUUUUAAUUACCUUCUUUAUUUCUGGAUCUAUGUCUCUGAAUUACCAGCCGCCUGCUUCCUGUACCUCCACCACUUCAGAAACAAAGCAGAGUUGCAGAAAGAGGAAAGUUUACCAUCUUCACGUGUAACUGAAGUGGAACUCUAGUGCCCUCUACUGGUGAAAAGCAUAGGAACAUGGUGGCUUCAUGUCUGAAGGAGCACUCCGGUCAUAUUUUUUGUAAAAGUUGCAACAACAGUCUCACUAGGUUGGACCCAGUAAGAGUUCCAUGUCAUUUUCAUACUGUCCCAAGUCUUGACUGCAUGGAGUUGAAUUACUGAAGAGGCACACACAAGAGAUCACAGUGGCAGUACUUUGAGUUGUAUGAAACAAUGUUGAGAAGGCUUUUUUCACAUUUCAGUUCUGAUACUGGUCCAAAAACAUGUGCACUGGAGCUUUGGCUAUCAUUGUGGUAUGUCUGAGUGAAGAAAUGACGAACAAGAACAUAAAGUGGCCUUAGCCUGAAUGACAAAAUUGUUGCUUUAAAGCGGCACAGGAAGUGCUUCUCUAAGAAGAGGUCGCUUGACAUGAGGGGGGGACACUGCCGAAAAGUCACGUAAGGACGGAAGAAAAACAUUUCCACGCGGUUGUUGUUCGACGCGAAGCUUGUGUAAAGGAUUCUAAGCACCCAGCUGGAAUGGGAACAGCCCUUACCGUGUUUUAUUUUGAAGUAAGACUGACGGACAAAAAAGUUGCAUUUUAUGUUCAAAGUAACGUUGAUGGCUG
Molecule: long non-coding RNA, 818 nt
Organism: Amphiprion ocellaris (clown anemonefish)
Lineage: Eukaryota; Metazoa; Chordata; Actinopteri; Pomacentridae
Source: Ensembl